Non-coding RNA from Paramuricea clavata, 758 nucleotides. The record is from the annotation of a GenBank genome assembly. NCBI's taxonomy places the organism in Eukaryota, Metazoa, Cnidaria, Anthozoa, Malacalcyonacea, Plexauridae.
AACGGGCCCCAAGACCUUUGCGAUGAGCAAAUGGAAGGGUUCUGAGUGGAAGAAUUUUUACAUGUAUGCCUUCCCCAUUGUGCUCGACGUUCUCCAACAAAAUUGCAAUGGGGGUUCAGCAAAGGUUGGCAUUAUAUGUUGUAUAGGCUUAGCCAACGAGUCAUAACAGGAGUGGACAUAGUUUGGGAAUUUUUUAAUUUUGCCGUUUCAAAAUUUUAGGGCUACCGUCAUUAAUAGGAUUUGUAGCCACUCUGAAAGAAUAUAUCAAAAAUCGUAUAGUUUUACCGAAAAAUGUAAAGGAUACAAGCCAUCAAAGUUUACUACACUCAUUGAAGUAAUUUUCCGAUUUUAUCCUUGCAGUUGUUAUGAUAAAAUCGGAAAAAAUUGCUCCAGUCAGUGUAGUAAACUUUGACGGCUUGUAUUCUUUACAUUUGCCGGUAAAAUUUUACGAUUUUUGGUACAUGCUUUCAAAGUGGACCAGGCUACAAAUCCUACUAAUGACGUUGGCCCGUCAAAUUUUGAAACAGCAAAAUUAAAAAUUUCAACUAACUGUCCACUUCUCCUGGUAUAGGACUCAUUGGCUUAGCUAACAUCUUGAUUGGCGUUUGCCUAACAAAACUUUUAUUCCAAACAGGUUUUUUCGUACUACACCUUCCUCAUGCGUGCCCUCCUGUUGGACGAGGAGUGUUCCACCACUUGCAAGAAAGAUGUAACCUGCCUGGCAUAAUGAUGACAUUCUACAAGCUUUACCAGAAGUC